Molecule: regulatory RNA element, 180 nt
Rfam family: rncO
About the family: This family represents a bacterial regulatory element (rncO) found in the rnc leader sequence. The rnc operon is negatively auto-regulated by transcript stability. rnc, the first gene in the operon codes for RNase III which cleaves the long rncO stem II leading to transcript degradation and a reduction in translation.
Source: Rfam
GUUAGGAAAGGCGGGCUCCCUUCGCGGGAGCCACUGCAAACGAAACAGUUUUGGACAGGCGUGUCGUUCCCAGGCCUGUUCCGUCAGCUGCGGUUUUUUACGCAUGGUUGAGUUAUUGGUAACGCAUGAAUCCCAUCUUAAUAAAUAGGCUCCAGAAGAAACUGGGCUACACUUUUCAAC